This 393-nucleotide ribosomal RNA is filed under the name uncultured bacterium. RNAcentral's name for it is "bacterial SSU rRNA". It matches the Rfam family "Bacterial small subunit ribosomal RNA", at positions 28 to 416 of the family's 1533-position model. The record is from RNAcentral.
GAUGAACGCUAGCGGCAGGCCUAAUACAUGCAAGUCGAACGGUAAGGCCCUUUCGGGGGUACGACGAGUGGCGGACGGGUGCGUAACGCGUAUGCAACAUGCCUUCCAGCGGGGGAGUAUACCAGGGAAACUUGGCGCAAUACCCCACUAGAAUUACGGGACCGCAUGGUCUUGUGAUUAAAACUACCGGUGCUGGGAGAUUGGCAUGCGUGACAUUAGCUAGUUGGCGGGGUAACGGCCCACCAAGGCGACGAUGUCUAGCUGGUCUGAGAGGAUGAUCAGCCACACUGGGACUGAGACACGGUCCAGACUCCUACGGGAGGCAGCAGUGGGGAAUUUUUGGACAAUGGGGGCGAACCCUGAUCCAGCCAUGCCGCGUGAGUGAAGAAGGCC